Molecule: long non-coding RNA, 406 nt
Filed under: Numida meleagris (helmeted guineafowl)
Lineage: Eukaryota; Metazoa; Chordata; Aves; Galliformes; Numididae
Description: lncRNA (ENSNMEG00000000423.1)
Source: RNAcentral
CACAUGGAGUCUUGACUUCUUCAAGUUACAGGUUCAAAUUUCUAUAGGAAAACUGUAGGUCAUCUGCUGUGUCUGAGUGGGCACUUGUAGUCCAUUGCUGAGACAUGACCGUAUCCCUUGCCUUUUCCUUGGCAGAAACCACCCAACAAUGGCAAAAGUGCUGGUGGAUCCCUGCAUUUGACUGGAAGUUCUUAUUCAGCAGGGAUUGUGGGGCCUUCCUGAAGGUAAUGAAGAAAUGAAGCUUCACAGCCCCUGCAUAAUGUUGAGGAGAGUUCUCUCCAUUUUGUAGAUGGGUAAGUGAGACAAUAGAAUGGUUUCCAGAGUGCUUCAGGUCUGUGAUAUGAAGCCUAGGUCAGAUCUCUAAAUCUCUCCCAUGUUUCUUAAACAUGCAGCAGCUUUCCAGCCA